Molecule: ribosomal RNA, 253 nt
Filed under: uncultured bacterium
Lineage: Bacteria
Description: partial 16S ribosomal RNA
Rfam family: Bacterial small subunit ribosomal RNA
Source: RNAcentral
UACGUAGGGUGCAAGCGUUGUCCGGAAUUAUUGGGCGUAAAGCGCACGUAGGCGGCUUAGCAAGUCGGAAGUGAAAGCCCUCGGCUCAACCAAGGAAGUGCUUUCGAAACUGCUGAGCUUGAGUACUUAAGAGGAUCGCGGAAUUCCCGGUGUAGAGGUGAAAUUCGUAGAUAUUGGGAAGAACACCGGUGGCGAAGGCGGCGAGCUGGUCCAUUACUGACGCUGAGGCGCGACAGCGUGGGGAGCAAACAGG